This 384-nucleotide ribosomal RNA is filed under the name Brevundimonas sp. R-41484. RNAcentral's name for it is "bacterial SSU rRNA". It matches the Rfam family "Bacterial small subunit ribosomal RNA", at positions 18 to 430 of the family's 1533-position model. The record is from RNAcentral. Lineage: Bacteria; Pseudomonadati; Pseudomonadota; Alphaproteobacteria; Caulobacterales; Caulobacteraceae.
CCUGGCUCAGAGCGAACGCUGGCGGCAGGCCUAACACAUGCAAGUCGAACGGACCCUUCGGGGUUAGUGGCGGACGGGUGAGUAACACGUGGGAACGUGCCUUUAGGUUCGGAAUAGCUCCUGGAAACGGGUGGUAAUGCCGAAUGUGCCCUUCGGGGGAAAGAUUUAUCGCCUUUAGAGCGGCCCGCGUCUGAUUAGCUUGUUGGUGAGGUAAUGGCUCACCAAGGCUACGAUCAGUAGCUGGUCUGAGAGGAUGACCAGCCACAUUGGGACUGAGACACGGCCCAAACUCCUACGGGAGGCAGCAGUGGGGAAUCUUGCGCAAUGGGCGAAAGCCUGACGCAGCCAUGCCGCGUGGAUGAUGAAGGUCUUAGGAUUGUAAAA